GCAUAUCAAUAAGCGGAGGAAAAGAAACCAACAGGGAUUACCUCAGUAACGGCGAGUGAAGCGGUAACAGCUCAAAUUUGAAAUCUGGCUCUCGGGUCCGAAUUGUAAUUUGUAGAAGAUGCUUUGGGUGUGGCUCCGGUCUAAGUUCCUUGGAACAGGACGUCAUAGAGGGUGAGAAUCCCGUACGUGACUGGUUGCCUUCGCUCAUGUAAAGCUCUUUCGACGAGUCGAGUUGUUUGGGAAUGCAGCUCAAAAUGGGUGGUAUAUUUCAUCUAAAGCUAAAUAUUGGCCAGAGACCGAUAGCGCACAAGUAGAGUGAUCGAAAGAUGAAAAGCACUUUGGAAAGAGAGUUAAACAGUACGUGAAAUUGUUGAAAGGGAAGCGCUUGCAACCAGACUUGCAAUCUGUUGAUCAUCCGGGGUUCUCCCCGGUGCACUCGGCAGUUUUCAGGCCAGCAUCGGUUUGGGUGGUGGGAUAAAGGCCUUGGGAAUGUGGCUCUCUUCGGGGAGUGUUAUAGCCCAAGGUGCAAUGCCGCCUACCUGGACCGAGGACCGCGCUUCGGCUAGGAUGCUGGCGUAAUGGUUGUAAGCGACCCGUCUUGAAACACGGACCAAGGAGUCUAACAUCUAUGCGAGUGUUUGGGUGUCAAACCCAUACGCGUAAUUAACGUGAACGGAGGUAAGAACCCUUAAGGGUGCAUUAUCGACCGAUCCUGAUGUCUUCGGAUGGAUUUGAGUAAGAGCAUAGCUGUUGGGACCCGAAAGAUGGUGAACUAUGCCUGAAUAGGGUGAAGCCAGAGGAAACUCUGGUGGAGGCUCGCAGCGGUUCUGACGUGCAAAUCGAUCGUCAAAUUUGGGUAUAGGGGCGAAAGACUAAUCGAACCAUCUAGUAGCUGGUUCCUGCCGAG
RNAcentral lists this ribosomal RNA (907 nucleotides) under Trichoconis echinophila. Its description in RNAcentral is "LSU rRNA". It matches the Rfam family "Eukaryotic large subunit ribosomal RNA", at positions 38 to 965 of the family's 3401-position model. The record is from RNAcentral. Lineage: Eukaryota; Fungi; Ascomycota.